Chroicocephalus ridibundus (black-headed gull) is the source of this 1224-nucleotide long non-coding RNA. RefSeq lists it as uncharacterized. NCBI's taxonomy places the organism in Eukaryota, Metazoa, Chordata, Aves, Charadriiformes, Laridae. The transcript is spliced from 3 exons. The record is from RefSeq and is a predicted model, not a curated record.
UCCAUUGGUAAGAAGUUACUCUGUUUUAUGGGGUUUGUGCCAAGUGACCACCAUGUUUUAGAUCACUGUAAAGCAUUGUUGUGAAGUAGAGUUAGUGGGCUGUGGGGUCUCCAACACUGCAGGUAUGGAAAAGGAAGUUAAGACAAGCAUCAGCCCAGAAUAGUGUAGAUAUCAUUGAUCCUGCUUUAAGAGAGGUGAUAGACUAAAUGGCCCUUUGAGGUUCUUUCUUCUCCAUUGGUUCUGUCAAUUCCUCUGUAAUCCAAGGAAAAUAAUUAUUAUACAAACAUCUGGUAGACAAAAAGCUGAAACAGCAAAGUAAGACUGACAAUGAGAAUACAAAAUGGCUAAAGGAAAGAAAGUAUGCUACCAUAGUUCAACAGUCUGAGCAGACAAUGAAGAAAAUAAAUGACUAUUUGUUUUUUACUUUAGAGACAUAGGGAAGGAAGCAAGAAAAAACACAGAAAAGAAAAAUCAUGAAUUACCCAGGUUGCAUUAGUACUUCAUUUUAGUUUACCAGUCACAUUCAGAUUUCCUUAAAAAAUAGUAUAUUUUUCCCAAAGAAGAGUAGUGUAGCUGUGAUGAAAAUAUGCCUUUUUGUUGCUAUUCAAACAGUGCCUUAUUGAAUUAAAUUUAUAAAAUGAAAGAGCGAAACACUAGAACACCUAUCAGGUGGACUCAUCGUGAAUCUUGGGUUGUCAUAUUUAACCAUAUUUUCCAAGUUAGAUGCAAGUAUAAUGAGAGCAUAAAAAGAUUUAGGAAGGAUAGAGAGUCAUAGUGAAAAGAGUGCUGAAUCACGUUGAUAAUUGUGUGUUUUACUGAAGCACACCACGCUGCUGAGACUUCAGUGUGAGCACGUUUCAGGGAGAACAAGAACAAAAGUACACAGUAAACUAUGCAGUUACUACAGAACACAUAAAUAUUCACUCAUUAAAAUAAUACAGAAAAACAACAAAUCCAUGUUAUACUGGGAUGCAAGAAGAUGAGUAAACAUUUGUUGUGGAGAGGAUGCCUCCCUAAGAAGUCGAAGAGUGAGCCAUAUGCACACCGUCUGCAAGAGACCUCAUAAUAUUCAUGAGAGGGGUUCCAAAGGAUGAAAGAGUUUCAAGGACUUCAAAAGUUUGGACCUCAUAAUUGUUUGCAGAUCUCACUUUGGAUCCCUACUCCUAUCGUUGAUGUGUUUAAAUCCAAAAGAACGAGAAAUAAUGAAGAAGAGUGAAAAACGAA